GAUGAACGCUGACAGAAUGCUUAACACAUGCAAGUCUUUGGCAAAGCUGUGCUUGCACAGCCAAGCCAAGGCGGACGGGUGAGUAACGCGUAAAGAACUUGCCCCGCAGACAGGGAUAACAGACGGAAACGACUGAUAAAACCUGAUAUAAUUGCCGGUACGCAUGUGCCCGGCAAUGAAAAGAGAUGCUGCGGGAGAGCUUUGCGUCCUAUUAGCUGGUUGGCGGGGUAACGGCCCACCAAGGCGAUGAUAGGUAGCCGGCCUGAGAGGGUGAACGGCCACAAGGGGACUGAGAUACGGCCCUUACUCCUACGGGAGGCAGCAGUGGGGAAUAUUGGACAAUGGGGGCAACCCUGAUCCAGCAAUUCUGUGUGCACGAAGAAGGUUUUCGGAUUGUAAAGUGCUUUCAGCAGGGAAGAAGAGAAUGACGGUACCUGUAGAAGAAGCGACGGCUAAAUACGUGCCAGCAGCCGCGGUAAUACGUAUGUCGCAGGCGUUAUCCGGAAUUAUUGGGCAUAAAGGGCAUCUAGGCGGCCCUAUAAGUCUAGGGUGAAAACCUGCGGCUCAACCGCAGGCCUGCCCCGGAAACUAUAGGGCUGGAGUACUGGAGAGGUGGACGGAACUACACGAGUAGAGGUGAAAUUCGUAGAUAUGUGUAGGAAUGCCGAUGAUGAAGAUAGUUCACUGGGACGGUAACUGACGCUGAAGUGCGAAAGCUGGGGGAGCAACAGG
This 732-nucleotide ribosomal RNA is filed under the name uncultured Leptotrichia sp. Its description in RNAcentral is "bacterial SSU rRNA". It matches the Rfam family "Bacterial small subunit ribosomal RNA", at positions 28 to 775 of the family's 1533-position model. The record is from RNAcentral. Lineage: Bacteria; Fusobacteriati; Fusobacteriota; Fusobacteriia; Fusobacteriales; Leptotrichiaceae.